GAUUCAGGAAUCAGAUCUUGUUGUGUUGUGGAAUGACUUGCUUACCGGUUUCUCGUCUCAGCUGGGCAUCUGCUGAGAAUUGGUACUUGGAUGGUGUCUUAAGAGACAAACCAAGCCCAGGUUCACUUUCCACCCAAUAGGUGUGCUUCACAUCAUCUCGGUCAAUGAUUCUUGUCACAUCUUUGUAGUGAUCUGAAGCCCUGUAGCACUCCACAAGUUCAUCUAGGGUGCAGGGUGUAGCUCCUGGUGCCAUGUACUGGGAACCAUUUCCUGCUGCAAUGUCUUCCAGAAAUUCAUUGGACUCAAUGUGUGAGGGCUUAGUGUACCUAUCAGAUGGUUGGUAAUGGUUUUUAACAUUAAGCUGAAGUUAUUGCUAUCAUAUAAAGCAUAUGUGCAUAUAAAAAGCUUUUGGCUUCAAAUAAUGUUAUAGUUUCCAUACUAACCCAAGCUUGGCAAAGUAAGGGACAGCAUCUUGACGAGGGCCUUGGAAUAAAACAUGGCCAUCACUGAGUAAUAUGAUCCUAUCAAAAAGAUCGAAAAUAUCCUGGGAAAGUUGGGUCAAUGACAUGAUUGCAGAAGAUUGUUGAAUCCUGCUAAUGGUUCGGAUGGUGUCCACCAGGCUAUAUGUAGCUGGUAAAUCAGACCCAGAGAAAGGUUGAUCAUAAAGCAUGACAGAAUAUGUUCCAAGAGCUAAUUCCGCUGUUGUCAGCCUCUGGCGGUCAGUGUCAGAGAUUGCAUCUCCAGUGAGUUUGUGCUGUAUCUCCUUCAAGUUUAAAAUUUCCAAAAUAUAUUCUAGAAAUGGAUCUUGCCCCUCCACAAGAGCAUGAGCAAAGAAUUUCCUCAUCUGAGGAGUAAAAUUCUCCGGUCGAAGCCCUUGAGUACAGUCCCUUGCAAAUUCAAGAGUCUCUCGAACUGAAAGAAGUGGAAUGUGCCUGCAAUUGUACAAGUAAUUGAACUAAACUUCUCAUAUAUGAAUAUCUAAUAAUCCUUGUGAGUUGUACUACAUAAUAAUCUUUUAGUUGAUUGCAUUUUCACCUGUU
Molecule: unclassified non-coding RNA, 1040 nt
Filed under: Hevea brasiliensis (rubber tree)
Lineage: Eukaryota; Viridiplantae; Streptophyta; Magnoliopsida; Malpighiales; Euphorbiaceae
Source: RNAcentral